GAUGAACGCUGGCGGCGUGCCUAAUACAUGCAAGUCGAGCGAACAGAUGAGGAGCUUGCUCCUCUGACGUUAGCGGCGGACGGGUGAGUAACACGUGGAUAACCUACCUAUAAGACUGGGAUAACUUCGGGAAACCGGAGCUAAUACCGGAUAAUAUAUUGAACCGCAUGGUUCAAUAGUGAAAGACGGUUUUGCUGUCACUUAUAGAUGGAUCCGCGCCGCAUUAGCUAGUUGGUAAGUUAACGGCUUACCAAGGCAACGAUGCGUAGCCGACCUGAGAGGGUGAUAGGCCACACUGGAACUGAGACACGGUCCAGACUCCUACGGGAGGCAGCAGUAGGGAAUCUUACGCAAUGGGCGAAAGCGUGACGGAGCAACGCCGCGUGAGUGAUGAAGGUCUUCGGAUCGUAAAACUCUGUUAUUAGGGAAGAACAAAUGUGUAAGUAACUAUGCACGUAUUGACGGUACCUAAUCAGAAAGCCACGGCUAACUACGUG
This 497-nucleotide ribosomal RNA is filed under the name uncultured bacterium. RNAcentral describes it as "partial 16S ribosomal RNA". It matches the Rfam family "Bacterial small subunit ribosomal RNA", at positions 28 to 507 of the family's 1533-position model. The record is from RNAcentral.